AUUGAACGCUGGCGGCAUGCCUUACACAUGCAAGUCGAACGGUAACGGGCCUUCGGGUGCCGACGAGUGGCGAACGGGUGAGUAAUACAUCGGAACGUGCCCGAUCGUGGGGGAUAACGAGGCGAAAGCUUUGCUAAUACCGCAUACGAUCUACGGAUGAAAGCAGGGGACCACAAGGCCUUGCGCGGACGGAGCGGCCGAUGGCAGAUUAGGUAGGUGGUGGGAUAAAAGCUUACCAAGCCGACGAUCUGUAGCUGGUCUGAGAGGAUGAUCAGCCACACUGGGACUGAGACACGGCCCAGACUCCUACGGGAGGCAGCAGUGGGGAAUUUUGGACAAUGGGCGCAAGCCUGAUCCAGCCAUGCCGCGUGCAGGAUGAAGGCCUUCGGGUUGUAAACUGCUUUUGUACGGAACGAAAAGCCUUCUUUUAAUACAGGAGGGUCAUGACGGUACCGUAAGAAUAAGCACCGGCUAACUACGUG
RNAcentral lists this ribosomal RNA (482 nucleotides) under uncultured bacterium. RNAcentral's name for it is "partial 16S ribosomal RNA". It matches the Rfam family "Bacterial small subunit ribosomal RNA", at positions 30 to 507 of the family's 1533-position model. The record is from RNAcentral.